RNAcentral lists this ribosomal RNA (1317 nucleotides) under Eucera floralia. RNAcentral's name for it is "16S ribosomal RNA". The record is from RNAcentral. Lineage: Eukaryota; Metazoa; Arthropoda; Insecta; Hymenoptera; Apidae.
AUUUAAUAUUAAAUAUUAUUAUUUGUAUAAUUAUUAUAAUUUAUAUAAAAUUAUUUUAAAUUUAUAUAGUUUUAGUAAUUAAAAUUAAAAAAUUUAAUAAUUUAUAAUUUAUUUUAUUGUGAAAGAAUAUUAAUUAAUUAUUAAUAAGUAUUAUAAUAUUAAUUUCCUUUUGUAUCAGGAUUUAUUAAAAUAAAUUAUUUAUAAUAUUUAUCUCGAAAUUAAAAUAGUUAAUUUUAUAAAAUUUUUUUUGUUGCAUAAAAAUUAUUAAUAUAAAAUUGUAAAUUAUAUGUUAUUUGUUUUUAAUUAUAUCUAGUUUCUUAAAAAUUAAAUUUAAUUUAUAUAUAAUUUAUAAUUAUUUUAUAAUUAAAUUUAAUAAAAUAUUAAUUUUAUAUUUAAAAAUUAUGGGAUAAACUUUAAUUUAUUAUUAUAAUUUAUUUUAAAAUUAAUAAAAUUAUAUUUAUAAAAUUAUAAAUUAAUAUAAAUAAUUUUAUAAUUUAUUAUUAUGAAAUAAAAAUUUAAAUAAAAUUUAAAUUAAUAAUAUUAAGAAAUUUAUAUAAAUAAUAUUUAUUUAAAUAUAAUGAUAAAAUUAGUAAAUUAAAAUUGUUUAUAUUUAUUAUAUACAUAAUAUAUAAUUUUAAGGAACUCGGCAAUAAUAUUAUAUUCACCUGUUUAACAAAAACAUGGCUUAUUGAUAAUAAUUUUAAGUCUAUCUGCCCUAUGAAAUUAAUUAAAUGGCUGCAGUAUAAAUAACUGUGCAAAGGUAGCAUAAUCAAUUGGCUUUUAAUUAAAGUCUAGAAUGAAAGAAUUAAUGAAAUAUAUACUGUCUCAAUUUUAUAAAUUAAAUUUAAAUUUUUAAUAAAAAUGUUAAAAUAUAUUUAUGGGACGAUAAGACCCUAUAGAAUUUUAUAUUUUAUUAUAUAUAAAUAUAAAUAUAAAUAUUUAUAUAUAAUAAAAUAUUUAGUUGGGAGGAUUAUUUAAUUUAAUAAACUUAAAUAUAUAUAUAUCUAUAAUUUUAGAAUAAAUUAAUUGAUCUAAUAUUAUAAAUUAAUAGAAUAAAUUACCUUAGGGAUAACAGCGUAAUUUCUUUUUAAAGAUCGUAUUUAUAAAGAAGGUUGCGACCUCGAUGUUGAAUUAAGAUAAAUUUUAAAUGAAGAAAUUUAAAUAUUAAGUCUGUUCGACUUUUAAAAUCUUACAUGAUUUGAGUUCAGAUCGACGUAAGUCAGAUCGGUUUCUAUCUUUAAAAAAAUUUUAUUAUUUUGUACGAAAGGACUAAUAAUAAGUAAUAAUUUUUAAUUAAUUAUUAAUAAAUAAAUUAUU